This 82-nucleotide transfer RNA is filed under the name Acanthoscelides obtectus. RNAcentral's name for it is "hypothetical protein". The record is from RNAcentral. Lineage: Eukaryota; Metazoa; Arthropoda; Insecta; Coleoptera; Chrysomelidae.
GCAGCGGUGGCCGCAGUGGUAGGCGCUUCGGUCUCCUAAUCAGUCGCCGUGCGCUGCGCGGGUUCGAAUCCCGUCUCUUGAC